Molecule: ribosomal RNA, 414 nt
Filed under: uncultured microorganism
Description: bacterial SSU rRNA
Rfam family: Archaeal small subunit ribosomal RNA
Source: RNAcentral
CAGCAGCCGCGGUAAUACCGGCGGCCCGAGUGGUGGCCGCUAUUAUUGGGCCUAAAGCGUCCGUAGCCGGGUUGGUUAGUCUCCCGGGAAAUCUGGCCGCUUAACGGUCAGAAUUCCGGGAGAUACUGCCAGCCUAGGGACCGGGAGAGGCCGAGGGUAUUCCCGGAGUAGGGGUGAAAUCCUAUAAUCCCGGGAGGUCCACCUGUGGCGAAGGCGCUCGGCUGGAACGGGUCCGACGGUGAGGGACGAAGGCCAGGGGAGCAAACCGGAUUAGAUACCCGGGUAGUCCUGGCUGUAAACGAUGCGGACUUUGUGUCGGACAAGCUAUGAGCUUGUCCGGUGCCGGAGGGAAACCGUUAAGUCCGCCGCCUGGGGAGUACGGCCGCAAGGCUGAAACUUAAAGGAAUUGGCGGG